This 254-nucleotide ribosomal RNA is filed under the name uncultured bacterium. RNAcentral describes it as "partial 16S ribosomal RNA". It matches the Rfam family "Bacterial small subunit ribosomal RNA", at positions 524 to 776 of the family's 1533-position model. The record is from RNAcentral.
UACGUAGGGUGCGAGCGUUGUCCGGAAUUAUUGGGCGUAAAGAGCUCGUAGGCGGUCUGUCGCGUCUGCUGUGAAAUCCCGAGGCUCAACCUCGGGCUUGCAGUGGGUACGGGCAGGCUAGAGUGCGGGUAGGGGAGAAUGGAACUCCUGGUGUAGCGGUGGAAUGCGCAGAUAUCAGGAAGAACACCGAUGGCGAAGGCAGUUCUCUGGGCCGUAACUGACGCUGAGGAGCGAAAGCGUGGGGAGCAAACAGG